Molecule: ribosomal RNA, 460 nt
Filed under: uncultured bacterium
Lineage: Bacteria
Description: partial 16S ribosomal RNA
Rfam family: Bacterial small subunit ribosomal RNA
Source: RNAcentral
CCUACGGGAGGCAGCAGUGAGGAAUAUUGGUCAAUGGACGCAAGUCUGAACCAGCCAUGCCGCGUGCAGGAAGACGGCUCUAUGAGUUGUAAACUGCUUUUGUACGAGGGUAAACUCAGAUACGCGUAUCUGUCUGAAAGUAUCGUACGAAUAAGGAUCGGCUAACUCCGUGCCAGCAGCCGCGGUAAUACGGAGGAUUCAAGCGUUAUCCGGAUUUAUUGGGUUUAAAGGGUGCGUAGGCGGUCGGAUAAGUUAGAGGUGAAAUCCCGAGGCUCAACUUCGGAAUUGCCUCUGAUACUGUUUGGCUAGAGAGUAGUUGCGGUAGGCGGAAUGUAUGGUGUAGCGGUGAAAUGCUUAGAGAUCAUACAGAACACCGAUUGCGAAGGCAGCUUACCAAGCUACGUCUGACGUUGAGGCACGAAAGCGUGGGGAGCAAACAGGAUUAGAUACCCUUGUAGUC